AGUGAACGCUGGCGGUGGGCCUAACACAUGCAAGUCGAACGGCAGCACAGUAAGAGCUUGCUCUUACGGGUGGCGAGUGGCGGGCGUGUGAGGCAUACAUCGGGAUCUUCUUUUUCGUGGGGGAUCACGUAGGGAAACUUACGCUCAUACCGCAUAUGACCUACGGGUGAAAGCAGGGGAUCUUCGGAGCUUGCGCGAUUGAAUGAGCCGAUGUCGGAUUAGCUAGUUGGCUGGGCAAAGGCCCAGCAGGUCGACGAUCCGUAGCUGGUCUGAGAGGAGGGUAAGCGACACUAGAAGGGAGACACGGUCAAGACUACUACGGGAGGCAGCAGUGGGGAAUAUUGGACAAUGGGCGCAAGCCUGAUCCAGUCAGAGCGCGUAGGAGAAGAAGACCUUCGGGGUGUAAAGCCCUUUUGUUGGGAGAGAAAAGCAGCCGGCUAAUACGAAGCUGUUCUGACGGUACCCAAUGAAGAAGCACCGGCUAACUACGUG
This 492-nucleotide ribosomal RNA is filed under the name uncultured bacterium. RNAcentral describes it as "partial 16S ribosomal RNA". It matches the Rfam family "Bacterial small subunit ribosomal RNA", at positions 29 to 507 of the family's 1533-position model. The record is from RNAcentral.